UAGAAUCACACUGACCGGCAAGAGCGCUCGGAGGAAGCAGCGAGUCAGGCAAGCAUGCAUUCCAUCUAGCCUUUCUAGCUGUCCUAUUCCUUGUUUGUCUCACUGUUCAUGCCAUGCUCUAUAGCUAGUAGUACUUCUGAAGCUCUAUAAUGUGCACUGUUCAUUUGAUUCCUGUACAUCUCUUGAAGCUAGCAUGCAUACCACAAUACUACCUUUUGGUUUAUGAUCACGAUGGAGAAAUCCUUAGUACAUGCAUGUGAGCAAAUGGAUUAAUGGCUCAUGCAUGGAUGGUUGGUUCUGUGAAAAGCCUAGUGAUAUUUAUUUUGGUCUUGCAUGUACUUCCUCUUGCUAAUCCUUGUCUAGUAAAUUUUAUAAAAUCUAGUAUCACGACGGCAAACGUAUUGUACCGGUCACAGUUCAGGUAUGGGACUGUCUGAGUUCUCCGCUAAGAACGCCACUCGUUCGGAAGCGUGUCGAUGAUGGAUCCAUAGGAGCGAUCGACACUAGUAAGUCGAGUGGGCGGUUCUUGGGGGAAUAGAGAGCUCUGCUCUACUAGCGCCUGUGUGGUUCUAGUCGAGGCUGCUGACGUCGGAGUACCCCUCUUAAGAGCGUAAAAGUGUGAAAUUUCACCCCUGUGACUCCCGGGUUGGGAAGCUUGCGGUCAUGUGUGAUGUCAGUUAUUUCUUUCCUUUUCUUUAAAUUAAUCUCCAUUAUCUUCCUCUGCCAACAAACUCUUUCUUUACAACUAACCCCUGUGUUCUGUCACUAUUUGCUGAGAGAAGUUCCUGUGUACCCGUGUGCUUGCUGAGUAUGAGAUCAUACUCAUUCUUGCUAUUGUUGUUGAUUUUGUAGAAGUAGCAAAUGAUGGAUGUGCUGAUGAGAAUGAGGAACAGUUGGAGUAGCUCUACGGGUUGGGAAUAAAUAAAGAAGUUGCAUGUAUCAUAACCUUUGUAAUAGCUAGUAAUGAAUAAAGUUGGCUCUUGUGCAUACUGGAAAAUAAUAUGUUUACUAGCCUAACAUGCUUAUAAAUUGGAGAUUUAUAAGCAUGUGGCGAUUGUCACUGCUAAGACUCACUUGGGGCGUGACAAUUUUAUUGGUAUCAGAGCUCUUGUACCCGCUAAGACACGAACACCUGGACCUACUGAACAUGGCUCUGAUACCACUUUAACUGUCACGCCCCGAGACCGGGCCUAGGCGAGACAGCCGCCACGAGCCUAUAGACCAGAGGCCUAUAGUCACACAAGGCAUGAUAAAGCAGGCAUAAACCAGAAGUGGAUCACAAAAGCUAAUAUAUUUACUAUAAAAAUUCCUUAACAUCUACAAAUAGUUGAGUAAAGACAUCAUAUUCUCUAGUCGCUUCCCACCCGCUGGUCAAGCCUAGUCUUGGAUGAAGACAUCUUCUGAACAUACUUAAGUUGAACAUACUUAAGUUACCUCGUUCGCAUCUAAAAAAACAGAGGAAGCAAGGGUGAGUACGACAAAUCAUACUCAGCAAGCAGAUACUUCACUAUUCAACAAGGAGCAAUGGUAUGAUGGUGUAGAUCAACAUACGAAAUGAACAAGGAAAUUAUUGGCAUCACACAUGACUGCAAGCUUCCCAACCUGGGAGUCACAGGGGUGAAAUUUCACACUUUUACGCUCUUAAGAGGGGUACUCCGACGUCAGCAGCCUCGACUAGAACCACACACUUUAACUGUCACGCCCCGAGACCGGGCCUAGGCGAGACAGCCGCCGCGCGCCUAUAGACCAGAGGCCUAUAGUCACGCAAGGCAUGAUAAAGCAGGCAUAAACCAGCAGUGGAUCACAAAAUCUCAUAUAUUUGGUUUACAAAUUUCUUUACAUUUACAAAUAGGCAAACUACAUUAAAUUCUCUAGUCGCUUCCUACCCACUGGUCCAGCCUAAUCUUCGAUGACAUCUUCUGGGCAUACUUAAGUUACAUUGGCUGCAUCUAAAAAGACGAAGGAGACAAGGGUGAGUACGAUAAAUCAUACUCAACAAGCAUAUACUUCAUUAUUCAACAAAAGCAAUGGUAAAAUGAUGUAGAUCAACAAACGAACUGAAUCCAAAGGAUAAACAAGGUAACAAUCACUGGAACAUAUUUUGCUGGAGAUGUGUAAAAUAAAUAGUAUAAUCAAAGACGAACAAGGGAGGUAUUGGCGUCACACGUGACCGCAAGCUUCCCAACCCGGGAGUCACAGGGGUGAAAUUUCACACUUUUACGCUCUUAAGAGGGGUACUCCGACGUCGACAGUCUCGACUAGAACCACACAGGUUCCAGAAGAGCAGAGCUCUCUAUUCCCCCAAGAACCACCCACUCGACUUACUAGUGUCGAUCGCUCCUACGGAUCCAUCAUCGACACGCUUCCGAACGAGUGGCGUUCUUAGCGGAGAACUCAGACAAUCCCAUACCUGAACUGUGACCGGUACAAUACGUUUGCCGUCGUGAUACCAGAUUUUAUAAAAUUUACUAGACAAGGAUUAGCAAGAGGAAGUACAUGCAAGACAAAAAUAAAUAUCACUAGGCUUUUCACAGAACCAACCAUCCAUGCAUGAGCCAUUAAUCCAUGUGCUCACAUGCAUGUACCAAGGAUUUCUCCACCGUGAUCAUAAACCAAAAGGUAGUACUGUGGUAUGCAUGCUAGCUUCAAGAGAUGUACAGGAAUCAAAUGAACAGUGCACAUUAUAGAGCUUCAGAAGUACUACUAGCUAUAGAGCAUGGCAUGAACAGUGAGACAAACAAGGAAUAGGACAGCUAGAAAGGCUAGAUGGAACGCAUGCUUGCCUGACUCGCUACUUCCUCCGAGCGCUCUUGCAGUCAUGUGUGAUGCCAGUUAUUUCUUUCCUUUUCUUUAAAUUAAUCUCCAUUACCUUCCUCUGCCAACAAACUCUUUCUUUACAACUAACCCCUUGUGUUCUGUCACUAUUUGCUGAGAGAAGUUCCUGUGUACCCGUGUGCUUGCUGAGUAUGAGAUCAUACUCAUUUUUGCUAUUGUCGUUGAUUUUGCAGAAGUAGCAAAUGAUGGAUGUGCUGAUGAGAAUGAUGAACAGUAGGAGUAGCUCUACGGGUUGGGAAUAAAUAAAGAAGUUGCAUGUAUCAUAACCUUUGUAAUAGCUAGUAAUGAAUAAAGUUGGCUCUUGUGCAUACUGGAAAAUAAUUUGUUUACUAGCCUAACAUGCUUAUAAAUUUGAGAUUUAUA
Molecule: long non-coding RNA, 3198 nt
Filed under: Triticum aestivum (bread wheat)
Lineage: Eukaryota; Viridiplantae; Streptophyta; Magnoliopsida; Poales; Poaceae
Description: long non-coding RNA (TAES_LNC012250)
Source: RNAcentral